Molecule: ribosomal RNA, 1491 nt
Filed under: metagenome
Description: bacterial SSU rRNA
Rfam family: Bacterial small subunit ribosomal RNA
Source: RNAcentral
AGAGUUUGAUCAUGGCUCAGAUUGAACGCUGGCGGCAUGCCUUACACAUGCAAGUCGAACGGCAGCACGAGAGCUUGCUCUUGGUGGCGAGUGGCGAACGGGUGAGUAAUAUAUCGGAACGUACCCUAGAGUGGGGGAUAACGUAGCGAAAGUUACGCUAAUACCGCAUACGAUCUACGGAUGAAAGUGGGGGAUCGCAAGACCUCAUGCUCAUGGAGCGGCCGAUAUCUGAUUAGCUAGUUGGUGGGGUAAAAGCUCACCAAGGCGACGAUCAGUAGCUGGUCUGAGAGGACGACCAGCCACACUGGAACUGAGACACGGUCCAGACUCCUACGGGAGGCAGCAGUGGGGAAUUUUGGACAAUGGGCGCAAGCCUGAUCCAGCAAUGCCGCGUGAGUGAGGAAGGCCUUCGGGUUGUAAAGCUCUUUUGUCAGGGAAGAAACGGUGGACUCUAAUACAGAUCACUAAUGACGGUACCUGAAGAAUAAGCACCGGCUAACUACGUGCCAGCAGCCGCGGUAAUACGUAGGGUGCAAGCGUUAAUCGGAAUUACUGGGCGUAAAGCGUGCGCAGGCGGUUGUGCAAGACAGAUGUGAAAUCCCCGGGCUCAACCUGGGAAUUGCAUUUGUGACUGCACGGCUAGAGUGUGUCAGAGGGGGGUAGAAUUCCACGUGUAGCAGUGAAAUGCGUAGAGAUGUGGAGGAAUACCGAUGGCGAAGGCAGCCCCCUGGGAUAACACUGACGCUCAUGCACGAAAGCGUGGGGAGCAAACAGGAUUAGAUACCCUGGUAGUCCACGCCCUAAACGAUGUCUACUAGUUGUCGGGUCUUAAUUGACUUGGUAACGCAGCUAACGCGUGAAGUAGACCGCCUGGGGAGUACGGUCGCAAGAUUAAAACUCAAAGGAAUUGACGGGGACCCGCACAAGCGGUGGAUGAUGUGGAUUAAUUCGAUGCAACGCGAAAAACCUUACCUACCCUUGACAUGUCUGGAAUCCUUGAGAGAUCAGGGAGUGCUCGAAAGAGAAUCAGAACACAGGUGCUGCAUGGCUGUCGUCAGCUCGUGUCGUGAGAUGUUGGGUUAAGUCCCGCAACGAGCGCAACCCCUGUCAUUAGUUGCUACGAAAGGGCACUCUAAUGAGACUGCCGGUGACAAACCGGAGGAAGGUGGGGAUGACGUCAAGUCCUCAUGGCCCUUAUGGGUAGGGCUUCACACGUCAUACAAUGGUACAUACAGAGGGCCGCCAACCCGCGAGGGGGAGCUAAUCCCAGAAAGUGUAUCGUAGUCCGGAUUGUAGUCUGCAACUCGACUACAUGAAGUUGGAAUCGCUAGUAAUCGCGGAUCAGCAUGUCGCGGUGAAUACGUUCCCGGGUCUUGUACACACCGCCCGUCACAUCAUGGGAGCGGGUUUCACCAGAAGUGGGUAGCCUAACCGCAAGGAGGGCGCUCACCACGGUGGGAUUCGUGACUGGGGUGAAGUCGUAACAAGGUA